AUAACCAAACUAAGUUAACACUAAUACUUAGGACAUAACAACACAUAUAAACGUGUGGGCUUAAGUAACCCAACAACAAACAAAACAUUCUUCUCUUGGGCCUAUACCAUCAAAGGCCCAAAACACUUCUUAACCCAAAAACACUUUGACUUCUUCUUCUUUCUUUAAUCGACGUCACCAACGCUUCUUCUCUUCUUCACUAGAUUCUGGGUUUCUUUACACCAAUCCACAUCUUCUCUUCUUUGUUCUUCAAACCUUUAUCAUUGAUGCUUGUAUUCUUCUUUGCAGAUUCAAUUGGAGAGAUCAAUCUCAACACUCCCUCUUGAUUUCUUCGAUUGAAUCCCAUAGAUGAAUUUAGGGAUUUGAGUUUUGGUACCUUUAGUUCAUUGCGGCUUAGCCAAUGUUUCAUCGGAGGGGCUCGUUUUAGAGCGUCAGCAUAGCUCAUGGGAGUGUUCAGUUUCACCAUCUCUCUCUUGCUUGAGGUAUCAAUGGUACUUGCAUCUUCAGAAUUUCGGGAGACCGAGCAUUGAAUUCAUUAACCUUUUUGGUGAUCUCUAUGGUGGCUUUUCUCAAUUCACCAUCGGUUCUUCCUUCAACAGAUUUCAGCUUGCUUUGUUGGUUUUCUUGAUUCAUACUUGAUUCUCCCGUCUGGAUGAUGUUUGGUUUUCCAGACACAACUUCCUUCUUUCAGCGUUGGACUUUUCUUCUUGACAUACUACAGCCAUAGUUGCUUCAUUUCUUGUGGGCCAUUGGAUAUGGAAGCUUUUCCCGAUCAUCUUUAUGUCAGCAACAAAUCUUCCAGUUUGAUCACGAAUGACACAGCUCCCUUCAAAGAAGUUAAUCUCGUAUCCACGAUCAAUCAUUUGAGAGACGCUCAGGAGAUUCUUGGUAAUUUUGGGUACUAGGAAAACAUCACGAAUGAUUCUUUUCCCAUUGGUGGUUUCUACCUCAAUAUCUCCCUUGCCUUUUGUCAUCAGCACAUCUCCAUUUCCUAUACGAAUAGGUACAUUGAAGCUGGUGUCAAGUGAACAUAUGGUAGUUCUCCUCCUUCACUUCUUCUUUCUCUUGGCGGGCAUAGAAGGCACCUUCAGAAUCUUCUUCAUCUUCUGGAAAGAACUUCUUUUCGUGUGCCUCCAAUGAACCAAUUAGUUCAGCAUAAGUGACAGUCUUCAGGUCUUUGGUUUCUUCCAUCAAUGAGGACAAGGAGACAUAGCUUUUGGGCAUAGAAGCAAGCAUCUUAACAACCAAAUCAAAAUUUUCAAACUCUCUCCUUAGUGACUGAAGUCUAACAGUUUUGACUUUUUCGUUACCUUGGUAAGAGUGCUCCAGAAGUAUCCAUGCUUGAUGUGCCGAGGUUGCAGAGAGGAUCUUGUCAAAGACCACAUCAGCGACGGCAAGUUGAAUGAGUUGGAGCGCAGCAGUAUCUUUGGUUUUUAGAGCUUUCAGGUUUGCAGCUUCUUUGCCUUUAUCUGCUCCUGGAGUUGUCUCUGGUAGUUGAGCAGUCGGUUCUGGGAUUCCAUCUUUAACAACUUCCCAGAGAUCUUUAUUCAUGAGAGUUGUUCUCAUUCUCGCAGCCCAGAAUACAUAAUUCUGGCCAUCAAACACAGCAACAAGUUGUGAUGAUUGCAGCAGGUUCCUAGGAUAAGAUGAGCUCUGAUACCAUGUUGAACUUUCUGAAUUUAUUCAAUUGGAGAGAUCAAUCUCAACAACCUUGCUAGGG
This is a long non-coding RNA of Arabidopsis lyrata subsp. lyrata, 1720 nucleotides long. RefSeq lists it as uncharacterized. The record is from RefSeq and is a predicted model, not a curated record. Lineage: Eukaryota; Viridiplantae; Streptophyta; Magnoliopsida; Brassicales; Brassicaceae. The transcript has 9 exons.